CUGCGGUACUCCUUCUCAGCUUUUGAUUGUUGCUCAGAAGGCGUGGCAAUCUGACAAGCCUUCGAGUGACUAUCAAAUCUUGUGGAGACGCCAAUUCGUCA
This 101-nucleotide microRNA precursor is filed under the name Ixodes scapularis (black-legged tick). Its description in RNAcentral is "microRNA isc-mir-315 precursor". Its record names the gene isc-mir-315. Lineage: Eukaryota; Metazoa; Arthropoda; Arachnida; Ixodida; Ixodidae. The record is from miRBase by way of RNAcentral.